GAUGAACGCUGGCGGCGUGCCUAAUACAUGCAAGUCGAGCGAACAGAUGAGGAGCUUGCUCCUCUGACGUUAGCGGCGGACGGGUGAGUAACACGUGGAUAACCUACCUAUAAGACUGGGAUAACUUCGGGAAACCGGAGCUAAUACCGGAUAAUAUAUUGAACCACAUGGUUCAAUAGUGAAAGACGGUUUUGCUGUCACUUAUAGAUGGAUCCGCGCCGCAUUAGCUAGUUGGUAAGGUAACGGCUUACCAAGGCAACGAUGCGUAGCCGACCUGAGAGGGUGAUCGGCCACACUGGAACUGAGACACGGUCCAGACUCCUACGGGAGGCAGCAGUAGGGAAUCUUCCGCAAUGGGCGAAAGCCUGACGGAGCAACGUCGCGUGAGUGAUGAAGGUCUUCGGAUCGUAAAACUCUGUUAUUAGGGAAGAACAAAUGUGUAAGUAACUAUGCACGUCUUGACGGUACCUAAUCAGAAAGCCACGGCUAACUACGUG
RNAcentral lists this ribosomal RNA (497 nucleotides) under uncultured bacterium. RNAcentral describes it as "partial 16S ribosomal RNA". It matches the Rfam family "Bacterial small subunit ribosomal RNA", at positions 28 to 507 of the family's 1533-position model. The record is from RNAcentral.